GUGAAAACCAAAAACAAUAAACAAUUAAAAACGAAAAUAAUUGAGAAAAACAAAAUCUUUGUCUACACAUUCUGUUGAAACUAAAGAUUGGAAGAAAAAACCUUACAGUUGCGAUAGAAACUGACGUGAACCAUAGCAGCGUUGGCUUCUCGUAGCGAAGCGAAAAGGGCGGAGAAGGAAGAAGCGGAACUAGGGCUGAAGACGGAGGUGUGAUCACUUUAUAUAGGAAACCCUAAACCCUAAUAUUUCCUCUUCGUUUUGAAUAGGCUCCUGAAAGGUUGAUUUGGGCCUAUUGGGUCUUUAAUAUAGUGGAGCUAAGAAAGAUAGGAAACGAAAGAAAGAAAAAAAGGAAGUCAGCUUGUUCUUUAGACCAAAAGCCCAAACUUUGUUUUGUCCUCUGUGAUUCAACAACUGAGACAUUAAAUGGAAGGAAAAUAAAUCCAAUUAAAAGAAGACAAAAAGUACUCUAUUACAGGAUAAUUAUGAGUAUUUGAUCCGAUUAUAUAAGAUUAUAGUAUUUUAUGAUUAGAUUUGGGUAGUAAUUUCACAACCCUAUCAAGUUCAGGUAUCAUUUUUUGGGUAUCCGAUACUUGAACCUGAUUACAUUUCUUUAAUUUUAUGUAAUUAAAGAUAAACUUAUAUUAUUAAUUAAAUUAAUUCAUAAAACUAUGAUUAUUAAUUAAUUUGUAAUAUCUUUUAAUACAUGUACUCUAUAUAUUGUGUUAAUUUAUAAAUAAUAUAAUAAUUAUUAUAUAUACUUUUAGUAUAUAUACUUUAAUUAUAAAUAUAUUUAAUUUCUAUUUUAUAUUACUGUUACAAAAAUUAUAACUUAUAAAAUUAUUAAUUAUAAUAUAUAUAUAUUUGUUUAUAUAAACUUAUAAAAUAUAUCCUUAAAAAGAAGUAGUGAGAUUAGUAUAGUUUUAGAAUUUAUUUUUUAAAAUUUCAUAUAAUUAAAGACAAACCCUUAUAGUUAAUUAAACUUGUAGUGUUGUUCAAGUUGUAGUUUGAACAUUUGCUUUUAGUUAUUUAAGUUGACAUUUGCGAUAUUUGUUUUUGAUUAUUUAAAUUUAAAUUUUAUUAUUUGUGUGCUUUCAUAAAUUUAAUUAUUAGUGAAUUAUAUGGAAUAUGAAUGAAAAUAUUAUUGUAUAUAAAUACAGGUACAGAUUCGGAUUCAGGUAAUUAAGUACCCAUAAAGAGCAUUUCAAUAAUUUUUUUACAUAAUCAGAUUUUCAAAUGGGUUUAGAUAAUUAUUAAGCAGUGGGUAUGUAUUAGGGUUCGGGUUAGGAUAGUAAAUUUAAAAAUAUUCGGAUAAUUGUAGGGUUCGGAUACCUCAUUUAUUAAUCGAGUUUGGGUUCAAGUAUCACAAAAUUAACAACUACCUUACCCAUUAACACGUCUAAAUCCAAUAAAUGAAAAAUUAAAUGCUAAAAUAAUGUUAUAAAAUGAAAAGCUUUCAAUUAUUGUAUUGCUGCACCAAGAUUAUGGAUGCAACAUGAAGAAGACGUUACAAAUAACGAUUAAGUAAAUAUAAUAAGACAACAGUUGAAACUUCUUGAACCUAUACUCAACUGUUCAAGAUGCUUAUCAUUUUGCAAUAUUCCAUCUAGUAAAAUUAACAACUCAAGUAAGACAAGUGAAAUUCAUUAGAGACCCAAGCCUAUAGGGCAUACAAGUAAAUUUAUUACAAUUUUUAUAUAAAAAACUUUUCCUAUGCUUUGUAUCUCUGGGUAAUUAAUUUGCAAAGCUCAUAGAAAACUCAGAUUUAGUGUUUGUUGAUAUUGGAGGAUAUUCUUGAUUAUGUUUUUAUAUAAUUACCAAAAAGGUUUAGAUGCCUUAGAUGUUUGAAUUUGUCACGACCCGGCACUCCCUUUGAGCCCGUGACAACCGUCGCGAAGUCUUAGUAAACAUUCAUUACUCGAUAUGUCAACCAAAAUCUCACAAGGCUCUUGCAUCAGUUUUCCACUUCCCCAGUGAGCAAUAGUUACUAAACAUCGAGUUUUAAGAGAAUAUAAACUAUUUUAGAUCGAAAACAAUCAAAAUAAAAUUUUCGCCACACAAGGGUAUUUUGGUCAUUUUUACUUGAAAAUUUCAAAACCUGUAUCCAUUUCCGAUUAAAAAUAAAUUUUUGUAAUCUAAAUCAUCCAUUUGGAGUGAAAAAUUGGCUAAUUAGACUAAAUAAAAAUAUUUGAUAAUAUAUUUCAUUUUCUUAUAAAAUAAUUUUUAUAGAACUAUGCAUAAAUAAUUUUUGUAGCGUAAGAACAAAAUAAAUUCAUACACAUAGUGAUACAGUAAACCAGGUAUUCAAAAUUAUCCUACAGUGACAUAUGGACCCCGAGAUAACCAAAAGUGUGCAAGAAUGUAGACCUACGAUUUCCAAGGAAGUAAGUCCAACAGAAAUCCUUGAUGAAAUCAACUGCCUACAGAUUAUCCUGAACUUGAAAUGGUUAAAAAAGAAAGGGUGAGUUUUCAUAAACUCAAUGAGUAAACAAAAUCCGUCAUUAACAUCUAAAGUCGAGUAAAUAGAGACAGUUAACUUUUCAUCAUAUCAUAAUCCAUAAUAUUUUGUACUUGUUUCAAAUCAUAUUAAACAACACAUUUCAUUAUAAUACACAUCACGACUUAUGAUUUUCUUAAAAACUUGGCUCGUGUCAAAAAUCAUACUUGGUGAUACCUUGACCGAGGCAUUCAAUUGAGUCCGCCAAGGUUAUUAAGUUAACAACUACUCAUAAAAACAUAGUUUAACCAUCUCUUGGCGUUGGCAGAGUUCAUCUUCAAGUGGUGGCUCGGCGUGAAGUGAACUCUAUCAUACCUUAGGAGAUAUCCUUCGCGCCUUUCCUACUAAGGUAAAUAUAACGGGGUUUACCGUGCCCCUCUAAUAGGCUGGUCCAUGGAAACUCGCCUACUGCAAUGACUAAUUAAAUAACCCACCAAUCAAUAAAAUUUUGACAGCAUAACGUGGCUAACAUAAUACUACCCAACCUGUCAAAGGAAAACAAACAGUUUAUAUAUUUCACAACCCAAAAACCCAGCCACAUAUGUCAUCACGUAUCAGUUCAUAAAUCAUCAAUUCCAAACGUAGGUACGUAAACUUAAAUAUAUANNNNNNNNNNNNNNNNNNNNNNNNNNNNNNNNNNNNNNNNNNNNNNNNNNNNNNNNNNNNNNNNNNNNNNNNNNNNNNNNNNNNNNNNNNNNNNNNNNNNNNNNNNNNNNNNNNNNNNNNNNNNNNNNNNNNNNNNNNNNNNNNNNNNNNNNNNNNNNNNNNNNNNNNNNNNNNNNNNNNNNNNNNNNNNNNNNNNNNNNNNNNNNNNNNNNNNNNNNNNNNNNNNNNNNNNNNNNNNNNNNNNNNNNNNNNNNNNNNNNNNNNNNNNNNNNNNNNNNNNNNNNNNNNNNNNNNNNNNNNNNNNNNNNNNNNNNNNNNNNNNNNNNNNNNNNNNNNNNNNNNNNNNNNNNNNNNNNNNNNNNNNNNNNNNNNNNNNNNNNNNNNNNNNNNNNNNNNNNNNNNNNNNNNNNNNNNNNNNNNNNNNNNNNNNNNNNNNNNNNNNNNNNNNNNNNNNNNNNNNNNNNNNNNNNNNNNNNNNNNNNNNNNNNNNNNNNNNNNNNNNNNNNNNNNNNNNNNNNNNNNNNNNNNNNNNNNNNNNNNNNNNNNNNNNNNNNNNNNNNNNNNNNNNNNNNNNNNNNNNNNNNNNNNNNNNNNNNNNNNNNNNGGGCAUGAAAAACAACCAAAUUCAUCAUCAAACCUCACCCAUAAAAUUCGGCCAAGAUAGGUUCUAUAAUGGGCAUGUGGAUUUCUUGCUUAAUUUUCAUACUAAAUGUUACUAAACACCUAAAAACACUAAGUUACCUUGAAAUUCAACUAAAUUCAUCACCAACUUUCUCUCUCUAAAUUUGGCCAGCAUAUUGCCCCUCAUGAAAACUUGAAUUUAAUUCAUGAAAAAUGAAAAAGAAUGCAUGGGCAAGAUGAAUUUCAAGCUUAAGAUUAAAAAUCUUACCUUUAGUCACCAAUUUCUUGAAAAUUCACCAAAAUUUCCUUAGUUUUUCCUCCCUAGGGUUUUUCUUUUCUUUUCUGCAGGUGCUGGUCGGUCCUCAAUUUCUAAGUGGAAGAGUAUGGGUUGGUUUUUAAAUGGCAAUAUAAUAAUAUUUAAUUUUUGACACGUGUCACCUUUUUAUUGGUCCACUUGUUUUAACUUAAUUGUUAAGUAUUUUCUCACCACCACAAAUGCUCUAAUAUUUAUCCAUAGCAUAAAAUAAUAAUAGGUAAAAUUCUGGAGCUUGACAAAUAUCAUGGUGGUGUAAAAUCGUAAAAUUCCAAUUUUGCCCUUGUGGACCAGAAAAAUGACAUUUUUGCCCUUAUGCUCGAAAUUGAAAAUUUUCACUUCUCAAUCUCAAAUUAUACUCCAAUUGGUCAAACUUGAUCAAAAUUUUCAUCCAACUUUCCAAAUUUGACCUCGGGUGGCAAAAUUACCAUUUUACCCCUGUGGUAUGAAAAUUCCUAAUUGACUCCAAUUUAAUCCUCGAACUCCAAAUCACCAUAUUAAGUCAUUUUGGGGUUUUAAAUUCUCAAUUUCAUUGUAAAAUUUCUAUUUAAACUAGUUCGAGACUUUAAAUUAACUUAGUUGCAUAACUAAUUACGAUACCGAUUAUUUAACUAUUUCUAAGGCAUUCUAACAUGCAGAUGUGUCAUCAAGUAUAUGGAUGUUAUGAUGAGUAUAUAAUGGAGUAGGGCUUGAUAGAAUUUGUCAACUGAGACAAUCUCUACUCAAUAAUAUCUAAGAUCUAAUGCCUUCAAGUGCUUCUAUUUACCUGUAAAUCUCAACUAUAAGUUGUUAGGUACAAUCAUGAGCGCAAUGCAUGAACCUUGGGUAGUUUGCUUGCAUUUAAAAUAACAUUUUUUGAUGAGUGGUCAUUAACAAACAAGUGAUGAGCAGUUUUCGGGAUAAUUGACAUUCAACUUAGUUUAAUCACAUAACACUUAUGUCUUAUGAUUGAUUGUGUAGGAUCAUGAACAAGAUCAUGCAUUUUACAUGUUAUAUUACCUUGGAUAUUGUUGGUAUAUACCCUUGAGCCAAUUGAAUUGGUCAAGAAAUAUAUAUAUUGUCAUUUAAUGCAUAUUUAAUCACAUAAUUAUAUGUGAUAGAGGUUUUCUUUCAUAUUAGUGCAAUAAUAAAGAGUUAUUAAGUACUAAUUGGAUAAAGCCCAUGGAACAUAAAGGCCUUGCAAGAGAAUUGUAAAAUUGUUACAAUUAUGAGAUCACUAUACAUUAAAGCCAUGCUCCUAAAAUUGUUCCUAGUCAUUGUAUUGUCAAGAUAGGGCAUUGACAAUGCUCAAAGACUGGUACAUGUUAAGCCUCCUUACUUAGAAAGUAAGCAAUUGAUCUCAUAGAUUGAAGUAUAUGGGAUACUUGAGGAUAAUAUGUAAGUGCUUGUUAAAGAACAAGUUCAUUGAACAUGACUUGCUAUGAGAACUUCAUUUGGUGUUUCAUUCAAGUGUCUAUGGAAAAUAUUCUCAUGUGAUAGUCGUGCAACUAGUCUUUGGACUUGAGACACCAGGUCAUCUUGUAUAGAGAAUGACAUACUUUGAUUUCACCUCUACGGGUUUGGAAGCAACCAAAUGCCUAAAUAGAGUGCUUUUGGGUAUGCCAUAAAACAUGUGAAGGUGAAUAAGUGGUCAAGAGAGGAUUCAUCACCCUAAGUGAUAUGAGGGGAUGUAUCUCACUUGUUCUCAAUUAUUGAUUAACUUGUAUAAAGUCUUUGGCCAAAGCAUGAUGAAUUUGAAGAAAGUUAGUUUUCUCAAAGUCAUGAAUUAUGGGAACUAAUAUGGAAUGUUAUAAGUAGACACUGAGCCAUGCUUAAUGACAUCUCCGGGAUAUUUGAUGAAAGGACCGUAUUGCACUGAGAGGUUUAUCACUGAAGGGCUUAGUCAAAUUCUUUAAUUGACUUUCUAACAUUUGGGUGGUCAUGAUGUAUUGCUAAAUAUCGCUCAUGAUCUAUAAAUAUAAAUUAAUUAUCAAAUUGAUAUUUGAUUAUGAUAUAUAUUUAUUGCCAACAUGUUAAAAGCCUAAUGGAUCACACACAUUAAGUGACAUGAUUGAGAUUAAAUAAGGAUAAUUAAUUAAGUUGGACUUAAUUGAAAGAGACCAAAAUAAAGUGAGAAAUUAAUUAAGUUUUUAGAGACUUAAUUAAAUUAAAAUACAACUGUUGUAUUUAGAUUACAAACUAGUUUGGCUAUAUAAAUAUAUUAUAUUAGCAAACUAGAAAUAUAAGCCUCAAAACCACUUCUCAACUAUUUCAUAAAAUAAGAAAAGAAAAAUAGUUUUCUUUCUCUGACAAAAAUAAGAUUCAGCAAGAAUUUUUAGGCCUUUUGUUUUAGACAAAAUACUUGCUAGCACAAGUAAAAAUCCUACCUUUGAGAAAGUCUUGUUUAGUCACUGUGUGGAUUACUAUUAGAGGCUAAACACUUGGGUGGCUAAAGAUUUGACAAAUCCUAAAGCUGAAGAAGCAAAGAUUUGAAUGUAAUUGGCUUUUGAUUACGAUAUCCAGAGUAAGGUAUGUAACUCUUAAACUUAUGAGUGUUCAUUACUAAUCAAAAAGUUACAUGAAAACACAAACAUUGAUCUUGUAGGAUUCGACUGUUUCUCUAAUUAAAUAUUAUUUUAUUUUUUACUGCGUUACUAUUUUAAUUAUUGAUUAUUUUCAUGUUUAAGCAUGAGGUUGAAUCCCAACAGAUAUUUUCUUCACUUCUUCAAAAAAAGACAUGUAAGUUAAUUCAUUAAUGAUAUUAAAGCUGAGACUUGCAUGGAAGACUAUAGCACCUUUGAUGCACAUGCAGGUUCCUUAUCUAUAGAUUGUUUUGUAUUGAAUUAUAAGCCUGUAUGUUGAUAUGUCAUUGUCAAAGCAUGCAACCAAUGCAGAAGGGAAAUGAUGUAUUUAGCUCUUGUUUUGUACUUUAUAACAAGUGUAAUUCGAAUUAAUGAAGGUUAGUGGAAUUAGUAGCCAUCAUUUUCCAAUUUUUUCAGCUUUUAUUGCAUUUACUCUUCUUUGUUAAUGACCAAGUAAAUUCUACAAUCUUUUGUUAAUGUCACAGUAUGAUAUCAAAGCUGUUAUGAUCUUAGAAGCCUCUCAAACCCAGAAGCCAUUAAUCCAAAAGCAUGGUUUCAAGCAACUUCACUCACCAAGCUCCACCCCUUUCAAUUAAAACGAAAGCUUACUUGACAUUACAAAAGAAAGACUUUUCAAAUGGAAUAUUCUUUCGAAAUAUUUUUUGUUGAACAAUUGGCACAAGAAAUGGUUUAGUUAGUACUAUAGUUUGGUCAAAAAUAAUGAAAAUUUUAUUGGUAUCGAAUCUACAUUUAUUGAUGAAAAUUUUUAUCAAUAAUGCAAAAAAAUUCCAUUGGAAUUUUAAAUAUAUCGAUCGAUAAAAUAUCAACUAAUAAUGGUUGAAAAUUUGUCAGAAAAUUACACUAUUUCAUCAGUAAAAGUUGAUCAUAUUAAAAAAAAUUGUUAAUCUUGACAUACAUUUGUCGAAAAUGUCAUUAAAAAACAGUUGAAAUUUUGGUGCAAAAUUUGUUGAUAAAAUGUAUAUUUUGUUGGUAAAAGUCCAUAGAAAUUUGUUUCUACUAAUGAAAUUUCGUUGGUAUUCCAUCGAAAAAUGGUCAAAAUUUUAUAAAAAAUUGGUUGAAAAUAUUGUUGGGUUUUUUAGAAAUUUUUUUUCCAAAAUAAUAAUGUAUCUUGAAAUAUAAUAUACGGCUUGGAAAAAUGUAAUAUACUUCCAAAUAUUCAUUUAAAACAUAUAUAAAUAAAAUUAAAAUGACCACAUGUUAUUACAAUUUUUAUUUAAUUACUCCAUAAAAAUCAAAAUGAAUGUUAUAGACACCAAAUUUUACCUGGGUAGAAUUAAGUCAAAAUUAACUUUUAUUGUCAUUUUUAUUUUAUUUCUAUUUUUUAUUUUUAUUUCAAUUUUUAUAUACUAUUGGAUUUGAGCUUAAUUCAAAUUGGACCUUUUUUGUUGUGGGAGCCCAAAGGAAAUGCAGGCACAAUUCUAAGUUGGGCUUUUUAGGCUUUUAAAGCCAAAAGCCUAUUAAGCCCACACACAAAAUAAAAAAAAAAAGAAGGAACCAAAAAAAAUUCCAAAAUGAUCAGAAAAAAAAUGAAAAAUGAAAAAAAAAACCCAAGAAUCAGGCAUAAAAGUGGAAAAUAAAAAAACAGAAAAGAAAUGAAAGACAACCAAUGAAUAGAAAGAUCUAGUGAUUGAAAAUAAAAAAUGAAACUAAAAAUCAAAUAACAAAAAGAAAUGGAAAAUAAUUGAAGAGAGUAGAAUGAUAUAGGGAUUGAAACCAAAUCAUGGAAAAUGAAGAUCAAAAAUAAAAAAACAGAAGGAGUGAGUUACGAAAGUGUGAAAGUUGCAUAGGGAGGUACACGCAGGCACUUUGCGGCAACUAUAAAAAUCCAUUUUCUCUUUGCAAAAGGGAGGAUGCUUGAAAAUAAAAAAAUUAAAGAAAAUGUGCAAAAAAAAAUCCAAAAAUUAUAUUUUUAAUUUAUGCCAUAUAAUCCUCAAUUUUAAUAAUAAAUAUAAUUUUUUAAAAUAUUUUUUAUUUUACAUAUGUACGUGCUAUUUAUAAUUAACUUUAAACUUUUUUUAUCGUAGCUGCUUGAAUAUGCUUAGGAUUCAUAUGUAUCUUUAAUUUACUUUUCCACCAAUAAUUCUUUCCUCAUGUUUUUUUUUUAAUUGUAAGCAAAGGCACAUAUUUCGCCAUAGACAUGGGAUUUAUUUUUGCAAUAAUCGGUUGAUAUCGGAAUGGAUAAUACAGACUCUUCUACGGUGUAACACCCCUAAUUUUUGAUAUGGCCUAAAUGUGGUGUUGGCCAAGUGAUUUGAUGAGUAAACUUGAAAAACUUGAUGUAUAUGCUUGUAGAGCAUGCAUAUGAGUUAUUGUGGUAUAUAGAGAAAGAUUUUGAAUUUCAGUGUACAUUGAGGAUUCUAAUGAUAUAAUGAAAUAACUAAGUCAAUUAAUGAACCAAAUUGAAUUUUUGGUGUAUCUGUUUAAGAGUUUAAGAGUGUGCCUAUGUCCAUAGAGCAAUGAAUAUGAUAUAUGAGCAUGUGAAGGCUCAAAAUAAUAUUGUGCAUUUGUUUGGCACGUUAAUGGUAUAGUGCAUUGUUUAGCUAUUUGAUAAAUAUGAUGCUUAAUGUAAGUUAUGUUAAGUUUUGCUCUGUAUACUAUGUGAAAUAGAGUAUAAUAAGGAUUUGAAUCUAUGUGAUAAGCAUAUGCUCGGUUAUUGAGCAUUCUUGAUGAGUUGAGAUGAGAAUGAUAAUUAUGGUACUUAGACCACUAAUCUUAGAGCUUGAAUAUGGUGAACUAUAUGGUUUGAAGUCUAAGUGAGAUUUUGACAUUUGAUGAUAUAUUUGAAUGUUUAUGUGUAAGAUUUCAUGCUAUAUGAAUGAAUUGAAGUGUGUUAUGAGUGGAAAUGAAUUAGAGAACUUACGGGGAAGUGAUUUGGGGUGUUAAGUUCAGAUUUUAGGCAAUUUAGGUGUAGGAAAGGUGCAAUCUAGGCAAGAUGUAUUGAUACAUUUUUGGAAAGAUGAACAUGUAUCUAUACUUUGCCUUAAUGUAUCGAUACAUUUGAAGUAAGGAGUACCCAAGACCAUUUUGCUUGAAAUGUAUCGAUACAUUGCCUUAAUGUAUUGAUACGUUCAUUCGAAAUUAGGGCAGAUGUAUCGAUACAUUUCCAAAUGUAUCGGUAUGUCAAAGAGAAAAGGCAAAAAUAAAAAGGGGUUUCAAGCCAUUCUGCCCCAUUUUUCUCCUUAACUCUUUCUCUCUUUCUUUCUCUACCUCUUUGAAACCCUAAACCCUUAAAUGACAUUGGAGCCUAUUGAGCUAAAUCCAACCUUGGGAAAUGAUCCAAAGGUAAGAUUAUGCAUUUUUCCCAAAUGAUUUCGAUUUAAUCGGUUAAUAACCUUGGAUCCAAAUAUUUUCAAAUUUGAUCAAACUCUCUCCCCUUGAGUUUAUUGGAGAUUUGGAGCCUAGAUUUGGACAACCCAGCUUGCAAGGUAAGGAUUUAGCUCAUUUGUUGGAAGAAUAAGCAUGUAUAUUGAAUUUAGUUAUUUUUGAAAAGUUGGGAUAUUUUUAAAAGCUAGGAAAUAAUUAUGAUUUUGAUAUUUUGAUAUGUCUAAGGGGAAAAUGGAGGUUAUUGAUGCAUUGUGAGCUGAAAGACAGUUGGAGACUAAAGGUUGAGCUUGAUUGCGGUGCGCAUUCGAUUGUCAAGGUGAGUGGGAUUUAAUUAAAUGAAUGUGAUACAUUUUGCAUAAUGUAUGCACUGUCAUGGUACUUAAAUGUUGUGUGUAUUCCUAGAUGAGAAUGCUUAGGCUAGAGAAUUAAUACGUAUAUAUGUGUGUGUGUGUGUGUGUGUGUGUGCCUAGAGGUAUAUGCCUAGGCUAGAGAAUGAACAUGAUUGUGAGCCUAGAUGAGGAUGCCUAGGCUAAUUAGUUAUCUAAGAUAGGAAAUCUGUGUUUGUGUGAUUUGUGGUGAGCCACAAGGUGGAAUUGUGUUAGAACCUAUGGUAUGUAAGACCUAGAGCAAGAGGCCUACACAUGGUGCAAUAUGAAUUAUGUAUUGAGGAUUGUGCCAAAUUAUGAUAAAUGGACUGCUUAAUUAGGCAUAUGGGCACGAUGUGUAUUUGGGAUAAUGGCACUACAAUCGAGAUGAUAUUAGUUAUGUGAGGUCGAAUAGCCAUGAAUGCUUAUGGAAAUAAUCUAUACAUGAAUGCCCACGUAAUUGUGGUUGAUUUGAGGAGAUGGAUAAAGCUGUUAAGCCAUGAUUGAUAUGAUUGAUGAAUACCCAUGUGGGGUUAUGGGGAUGAGGGCUUAUAGAUUGAUUAUGUUUUUUUUUAUGAUGCUUAAAGAUUUGAAGGCACUUAAAAUUAUGCAGAGCUUAGAGAUGACUGAGGCUUGUUAAAUUUGAAUAUGAUUUGAUAUGGACAUAUGGAAUGUCAUAGGCAUGAUGGCUUGAUUUGUUGAUUUAUGUUCUGUCUGAAGAAUGAAUUUCGGAUGUUGGUUUGACUUGAGGUGGAGUGGAGUCCCACGCCUUGUGACUAUGUGUGUGCUUGCAGGGAUGGUGGUAAGUAAGGAUAGAGGCACUAAUCCCUCAUAUGAUUCCUGCCUACAGUGCUUUGAUGUCAUCCGUUGAGAUUACUUCGAGUGAUAUCGAUGUCGGGAAAUUACUCCGAUCAAUGAUACGAUUCUCCGCUAGUUGCUCUAGCGCUAUGCACGAUAUGUUCUCUGCCCGUUUCUUCGGUACACGCGUGAUUUGUUUCUUUGCCUAACAGCUUUGCCCUACGCGUGAUUUGUUUCUCCAUUGGUUGGCCAUUGAGCAUGAUUUGACUACGUAUAGGGCAUGACCACUCAUUGGAUUUCGUUUAACUAUGAUAACAUGCAUCGGGGAUGGCAUAAUUGGAUUUGAAAUAUGAAUAUGUGGUGACCACAGUGAAUGAGAUUCGAUGAAAAGUUUUAAGAUAAGCAAAUCACAUGUAAAUGAGAUUUAAGGUUGGGCUCGGCAACUAAGGAGUGCCUAUGAAGCCUAGUUUGAUGGUAACGGCUUUAAAGAUAAGCCUUAAAUUGAUAUGAUUUGAUGUGAAGUCACGAAACUUGGAAAUUGUGGAUAUAAUAUGCCGUUGAGAUGUGAUUCGGCAUAAUUUAAUAUAAUGAGUUAUGUAUGUAAGAUAUUAAGAUGAUCUUCACACCAUUGCAAUUGGAAAUGUUUGAAUAUGAAAGUCUUAUGGCUAUAUAGGCCUAAAUAUAUUUUGUAUGUAAGAUAUUAUAAUAUAAUAGCAUCCCUUCACUAAGUAUUAGAUGACUCACCCUUCUAUUGUACCAUGUGCAAAUACGAAAAACUAUGGGGUUACGUGGCAAGUGUCAUCGAUUGGACGGACACAUAAUUGGCAUUCGAUAGGUUUCCAUCCCAACGUGUCACUCUGCUAAGUCUAUGUGGGCCUUUUGCCUUCCCAGUUUGGUUAGUUGUAAAUAUGUUAGGCACAAUGUGCCAUUUGAAUUGUAUAAGGUUUGUUAUGUAUGAACCUGAUUGAUUGGCCAGUGUAUGACCUUACGAACAUUUGUAUGGAUUGUGAGCCAAGGAUAAUGUAAUAUAUUUGAAAUUGUUACAAAUAUUUGAUUAUAAAUCCCUUGACAUUUGAGUUAUAUGGUUAUGAAUUCUGAGGCUUGCUUAGGUCUAGUGAACUUGCUUGUUAGGCUCGUGCGUCUAUCACCGACUCUCGAAUUUGGGUCGUGAUAGUGUAUGUGCAUAAACACAAGCAUAUUGGGUGUAUUUUUCCAAGCAUAGGUAAAACACUUUCAUUAAGUCCAUUUUUUUCACCUCCCAUGACCUCAUAACUUUAUCUUAUAUUUAAAUUUUAUAAAACUAGAAUAACGAGUUAUUUAGACGAAAAAAAAAAAGAAUUAAGGUAAAAAGGCAAUAGCUUACGGUUGCAAUAGAAACUGACGUGAACCAUAGCAGCGUUGGCUUCUCGUCAAAGGUGAGAAAGGAAAUGGUUAGAGAAGGGAAGAAGCCAAACUAGGGAUGAAGAAGAAGGCGUGAUCACUUUAU
RNAcentral lists this long non-coding RNA (12589 nucleotides) under Theobroma cacao (cacao). RNAcentral describes it as "long non-coding RNA (TCAC_LNC002524)". Lineage: Eukaryota; Viridiplantae; Streptophyta; Magnoliopsida; Malvales; Malvaceae. The record is from RNAcentral.